UUUCAGUCCUGCAGCUGCACAGAGGGAGAGUGUGCAACUAAAACUGGGCCACAAUAACUUUAAACAUCUGACUUCUUCUCAAGUGUCUCUCAGGGACUCUCAGCCUGCUCUCCCUCCACGGCCACCGCCUUUGUGCUGACCAACGUGUGCACUCAGACAACCAAGAACCAUGGCCCAGCAACAGCGGAUCAGCCUCCCAGCCAAACUGAUCAAUGGAGGGAUUGCAGGGAUGGUAGGAGUCACCUGUGUGUUUCCAAUUGACCUGGCCAAGACCCGCCUGCAGAACCAACGCAGCGGGCAGCAACUUUACAAGAGCAUGAUGGAUUGCCUAAUAAAGACAGUAAAAUCUGAAGGCUACUUUGGCAUGUACAGAGGUAAGA
Molecule: non-coding RNA, 380 nt
Organism: Paralichthys olivaceus (Japanese flounder)
Lineage: Eukaryota; Metazoa; Chordata; Actinopteri; Pleuronectiformes; Paralichthyidae
Source: RefSeq, a predicted model, not a curated record